This 578-nucleotide long non-coding RNA is filed under the name Gallus gallus (chicken). Its description in RNAcentral is "lncRNA (ENSGALG00010016071.1)". The record is from RNAcentral. Lineage: Eukaryota; Metazoa; Chordata; Aves; Galliformes; Phasianidae.
GUUAUUUUUAACUCAAUAUUAGCAUCAAGGAGUUAUUUUUGAUAAACAGAACAGGAAUUGUUCUUCUGUCAAAUGUAAUAAACAGAAGGUUUUGGAAAUACUGUAAAAUAAUAAUGCAAUAACUUGGAGUAUUUAAAAUGAAUUUACCUUCUUGCUUCCACAAUUUACGUCUUGAAACAAAACCUUUUGCAAUUAGAACGCUGUUGCAAUUCACAACACACAGAUGUAAAGUCCAGCACGUUUCAGAUAAAGAAAUGGAGCAACCCAUAACUGUUGCAUUCCCUUUUGCAGUGUUACUCACUGAUAUCGUGUUGAAUGUUACAGGAUACAGAGGCUUCCAGAGCUCAUCAGAAGACCUGCCAAGCAGCUGCAGGAGGAAUUCUGAUGGAGGAAACUUUCAAGCAGUGCAGCACAGUAUCCAGGAGGGAGACUCACCAACCCCAAAUCUGAUCAGCUCCCAAAUGCUGAGGUAGCUCCCUGUUUAGCUGGCCAUCUAACAAACCAAGAGGGAGAUUAAACCCUCUGAGUAUCCUAAGACAGCUUCCUCAUGGUGGUUCACACAACUGACAGUGUCAAGC